GAUGAAGAACGCAGCGAAAUGCGAUACGUAAUGUGAAUUGCAAAUUCAGUGAAUCAUCGAGUCUUUGAACGCACAUUGCGCCCCCUGGUAUUCCGAGGGGCAUGCCUGUCCGAGCGUCAUUGCUGCCCUCAAGCACGGCUUGUGUGUUGGGCCCCGUCCUCCGAUCCCGGGGGACGGGCCCGAAAGGCAGCGGCGGCACCGCGUCCGGUCCUCGAGCGUAUGGGGCUUUGUCACCCGCUCUGUAGGCCCGGCCGGCGCUUGCCGAUCAACCCAAAUUUUUUAUCCAGGUUGACCUCGGAUCAGGUAGGGAUACCCGCUGAACUUAAGCAUAUCAAUAAGCGGAGGA
RNAcentral lists this unclassified non-coding RNA (346 nucleotides) under soil metagenome. RNAcentral describes it as "partial contains 5.8S ribosomal RNA, internal transcribed spacer 2, and large subunit ribosomal RNA". The stretch from base 1 to 119 matches the Rfam family "5.8S ribosomal RNA", at positions 35 to 154 of the family's 154-position model. The record is from RNAcentral.